RNAcentral lists this long non-coding RNA (240 nucleotides) under Brassica rapa (field mustard). RNAcentral describes it as "long non-coding RNA (BRAP_LNC004906)". The record is from RNAcentral. Lineage: Eukaryota; Viridiplantae; Streptophyta; Magnoliopsida; Brassicales; Brassicaceae.
CUUUUUAAAAAAUAUUAGUAUUAGAAAUUUGUUUCGUUUUCACAGAUAUUAAAUAUUAUUAUUUGCUUUGAUUCGUAGAGUUACGGAUAUCCAAAAUUUUCGGUUCGAAUCAAAACAAAUAAUAAACCGAAUCAAAUUUUACAGAUAUUUUAGUGCUUCCAUUGUAAAUUUUGUUUAUUAAUAUGAAGUGUGAAAUUUGUAUCCCAAAAGCGCUUAAAUACCCGUACAUGCCCUCGUAAG